Molecule: ribosomal RNA, 465 nt
Filed under: Vreelandella stevensii
Lineage: Bacteria; Pseudomonadati; Pseudomonadota; Gammaproteobacteria; Oceanospirillales; Halomonadaceae
Description: partial 16S ribosomal RNA
Rfam family: Bacterial small subunit ribosomal RNA
Source: RNAcentral
CCUACGGGGGGCUGCAGUGGGGAAUAUUGGACAAUGGGGGCAACCCUGAUCCAGCCAUGCCGCGUGUGUGAAGAAGGCCCUCGGGUUGUAAAGCACUUUCAGUGAGGAAGAACGCCUGGUGGUUAAUACCCAUCAGGAAAGACAUCACUCACAGAAGAAGCACCGGCUAACUCCGUGCCAGCAGCCGCGGUAAUACGGAGGGUGCGAGCGUUAAUCGGAAUUACAGGGCGUAAAGCGCGCGUAGGUGGCUUGAUAAGCCGGUUGUGAAAGCCCCGGGCUCAACCUGGGAACGGCAUCCGGAACUGUCAAGCUAGAGUGCAGGAGAGGAAGGUAGAAUUCCCGGUGUAGCGGUGAAAUGCGUAGAGAUCGGGAGGAAUACCAGUGGCGAAGGCGGCCUUCUGGACUGACACUGACACUGAGGUGCGAAAGCGUGGGUAGCAAACAGGAUUAGAUACCCGGGUAGUC